RNAcentral lists this unclassified non-coding RNA (332 nucleotides) under soil metagenome. Its description in RNAcentral is "partial contains 5.8S ribosomal RNA, internal transcribed spacer 2, and large subunit ribosomal RNA". The stretch from base 1 to 120 matches the Rfam family "5.8S ribosomal RNA", at positions 35 to 154 of the family's 154-position model. The record is from RNAcentral.
GAUGAAGAACGCAGUGAAAUGCGAUAAGUAAUGUGAAUUGCAGAAUUCAGUGAAUCAUCGAAUCUUUGAACGCACAUUGCGCCCGCCAGUAUUCUGGCGGGCAUGCCUGUUCGAGCGUCAUUUCAACCAUCAAGCCCCAGGCUUGUGUUGGGGUCCUGCGGCUGCCGCAGGCCCUGAAAAACAGUGGCGGGCUCGCUGUCACACCGAGCGUAGUAAUACAUCUCGCUUUGGACGUGCGGCGGGUUCUUGCCGUUAAACACCCCCCUUCUCAAGGUUGACCUCGGAUCAGGUAGGAAUACCCGCUGAACUUAAGCAUAUCAAUAAGCGGAGGA